ACGAAACCGCGUAUGGCUCAUUACAACAGCUAUUAUUAACUUGAUCUUGACAUUUAUCCUACAUGGAUAACUGUGGUAAUUCUGGAGCUAAUACAUGCAUUUACGCUUCUGUUGCUUAGGCAAUGGGGUGCACUUAUUAGAACAAAACCAUCCGGCCUCACGGCUGGUAUUUUGUUGACUCUGAAUAAUUCCGCUGAUCGUAUGAUCUCGUAUCGACGAUUUGUCAUUCAAGUGUCUGCCCUAUCAUACUCUGAUGGUAGUAUAUUGUGCUAUCAUGGUUGUGACGGGUAACGGAGAAUUAGGGUUCGUCUCCGGAGAAAAUGCCUGAGAAACGGCUUUUACAUCCAAGGAAGGCAGCAGGCGCGAAAAUUACCCACUCUCAGUUCGAGGAGGUAGUGACGUGAAAUGACAAGAUUUAUUCCUUCGGGAGUGAAUCAUUGGAAUGGUUUGAACUUAAAUCAUUCAAAGAUUAUCUAUGAGAGGGCAAGUCUGGUGCCAGCAGCCGCGGUAAUUCCAGCUCUCAUACUGCAUUGAAUUGUUGUUGCGGUUAAAAAGCUCGUAGUUGGAUCUGAAUCUCAUUGUAAUUCGGUACAUUCCUCGUGAAUGUUACUGUUUGCAUGGAUGUUUACGAAUAGCUUGUUCAUGUUGUGUAUUUGUUUAUGCAGCGUGAACGGGGUUAUUCGAGUUUACUUUGAAUAAAUCAGAGUGCUCAGAACAGGCUUUAUGCUUGUAUGGUUUUGCAUGGAAUAAUAGAACAUGACUUUGGUAUUAUGUUUUAUUGGUUUUAAGUACCUAAGUAAUGAUUAAAAGGAACAAACGGGGGCAUUUGUAUCGUUGCGCGAGAGGUGAAAUUCAUGGACCGUAGCGAGACAAACUACCGCGAAAGCAUUUGCCAAGAAUGUUUUCAUUAAUCAAGAACGAAAGUCAGAGGAUCGAAGGCGAUCAGAUACCGCCCUAGUUCUGACCGUAAACUAUGCCAUCUAGCGAGUUUCGGGUGGAUUCUUACAUUCGCCCUUGGAACGAGCUUUCCGGAAACGAAAGUCUUUCGGUUCCGGGGGAAGUAUGGUUGCAAAGCUGAAACUUAAAGGGAUUGACGGAAGGUCACCACCAGAAAUGGAGCCUGCGGCUUAAUUUGACUCAACACGGGAAAACUCACCCGGUCUAGACACUAUAAGGAUUGACAGAUCGAUAGCUUUUUCAUGAUUUGGUGGUUGGUGGUGCAUGGCCGUUCUUAGUUCGUGGAGUGAUUUGUCUGGUUAAUUCCGAUAACGAACGAGAUUGGUACUUGAUUAAAUAGAUACUAUCUAUAUUAUACGAGUGUGCUUCGUGCAUGCUGGAUAGUGAUCUUCUUAAUGGGAUUGUCAGUGUUCGCCCAACUGUCUUAAUUCCAGCAAUAACAGGUCUGUGAUGCCCUAAGAUGUCUGGGGCUGCACGCGCGCUACAAUGGAAAUUGCAGCGCGUAUGUCCAUUCUCGAAAGAGAUUGGUAAACGAGUCAAAUUAUUCCGUAUUUGGGCUCGGAGAUUGCAAUUAUUCUCCGUUAACAAGGAACUUCAAGUAAGUGUGAGUCAUCAGUUCACGCUGAUUACGUCCCUGUCCUUUGUACACACCGCCCGUCGCUGCCCGGAACUGAGUUGAUUCGAGAAGAUUGGGGAUUGGCAUUUAAUGGAGGUUUCGGCCUUUGUUAUAUUGUUGAAAACCAAUUUGAUCGCAUUGGCUUGAACCGGGCAAAAGUCGU
This 1736-nucleotide ribosomal RNA is filed under the name Tarantobelus jeffdanielsi. RNAcentral's name for it is "SSU rRNA". It matches the Rfam family "Eukaryotic small subunit ribosomal RNA". The record is from RNAcentral. Lineage: Eukaryota; Metazoa; Nematoda; Chromadorea; Rhabditida; Brevibuccidae.